RNAcentral lists this long non-coding RNA (1015 nucleotides) under Homo sapiens (human). RNAcentral describes it as "non-protein coding lnc-SHISA9-1:5". The record is from RNAcentral. Lineage: Eukaryota; Metazoa; Chordata; Mammalia; Primates; Hominidae.
AUGUGCCUGAGAUCAAUGGCAAGAGAUGAAAGCCUGGCCAAAGCACUGUGUUAAUAAAGUAGGCUGAUUAUACAGUUUACUACAAGUAGAAGGAAUUGCCACAAACUGGUACUUCUGGAGCAGUGUUCAGGAAGAAGGCAGGAACUGCAGCUGAAUCUAGUAAUAAGACACGAUGAUGAUGAUGAUGAUGACAGCAAUGACAACAGCAACAACAAAAAUAGAGGCUGGGUGUGGUGGCUCAUGCUUGUAAUUCCAGCACUCUGGGAGGCAGAGGCAGGAGGAUCGCUUGAGCCCAGGAGUCUGAGACCAGUCUGGGCAACACGGCAAGACCCCAUCCCUACAAAAAAUUUUAAAAUUAGCUGGACAUGGUGGCAUGUAUCUGCAGUCCCAGCUACUCAGGGGGCUAGGGUAGCAGGAUCACUUGAGCCCAAGAAGUAGAGGCUACAGUGAGGUAUGAUCACACCACUGCACUCCAGCUUGGGCAACAGACGAAGACUCUGUCUCUAAAAAAAAAAAAAAAAAAAAAAAGACAAAAAAAAAGUGCUAGAGAACCAGAUUUAAAGCAGAAGCAGUCCGGAAAUCACAUGCAAAACUGCUCCCAGGGAGAAACGCAAGCCCAGGCACAGAGCCCCGCUUGAUGGCAGGUGCUGGACAAUAACAAUGCUGGGAUCCCCGCCUCUGCUGCCACUUUCCUCACCAGCAUGGAUCCUGCCCUCUCCUUUGUGUCACUCACUAAAGGCUCAAAGUCUGGUUCAAGGUAGAAACAAUUUUACGUGUCUCAGAAAGAACAAAGAGUUUAAGAUGGUGAUGCUGAGAUUCUGGACAAGAUGGACAUGGUGAUCUCUACUGGAAUCCGGGGACUGCUGUACUACGGUCAUAUACUACUGCUGGGGGCCUGGUGUUCCCGGGGUGCACUGGGGGCCUUGCUGUACUGAUAUGGUCAUAUGCUACUGGGGGCCUGCUGUUGCUGAGGUACAUUGUCAGCAGGCCUAGGCAUCGAAAAUGACACAACUGU